AGGUGGGGAUUGGGGGGUCACAUUGUGGGCUGGGGGUCAGGGUAUGGAGGGCUGAGGUGGGCACUGAGGGGCAGCGAGGUGCCACGGGGGUGCAGGUGCUGAGGCACAGGGGAGAAUGCAGGGCCUGGGAGGCGGGCAGGGGCCAGGCCGCGGGGGUGGCACGAAGCAGCUUCUCCCUGAGCCUCGUGUGUCGCAGGAUCUGCGCUGGGGGUCGCCUCCGGAGGAGCCACAGCCCUGCAGGCCUGAGUUGUGAGCAAAGGUCGCCGAGUCUGCGUGGGACGUCCGUGUCCCUCAGUAACAGGUGUGAGCAUCCAUGCAGCGUUUGGUGGUCAUGUAUGAUACUGCACACAGUGCGAGCCUGCCUUCGCCAGGGGGAGAGUCCCUGGAUGGCCUCUGGAUUCGUUUCUUUAACCUGUGCUGUAUUGGUUUAAAAAUCGAAUUGUAGAAAUAAAUGACGUUGCCCUUCCUUUACA
RNAcentral lists this long non-coding RNA (473 nucleotides) under Anser cygnoides (Swan goose). RNAcentral describes it as "lncRNA (ENSACDG00005008164.1)". The record is from RNAcentral. Lineage: Eukaryota; Metazoa; Chordata; Aves; Anseriformes; Anatidae.